UAGGGUAAUUAUUGCGUCGGGGCUCACCUCUUCCCAUUUCGAACAGAGAAGUUAAGCCCGAUUGCGCAGA
Molecule: ribosomal RNA, 70 nt
Filed under: Paenimyroides tangerinum
Lineage: Bacteria; Pseudomonadati; Bacteroidota; Flavobacteriia; Flavobacteriales; Flavobacteriaceae
Source: RNAcentral